AGAGUUUGAUCAUGGCUCAGAUUGAACGCUGGCGGCAUGCCUUACACAUGCAAGUCGAACGGCAGCACGGGAGCAAUCCUGGUGGCGAGUGGCGAACGGGUGAGUAAUAUAUCGGAACGUGCCCAGUCGUGGGGGAUAACGCAGCGAAAGCUGUGCUAAUACCGCAUACGAUCUCUGGAUGAAAGCGGGGGACUCAGCAAUGGGCCUCGCGCGAUUGGAGCGGCCGAUAUCAGAUUAGCUAGUUGGUGGGGUAAAAGCUCACCAAGGCGACGAUCUGUAGCUGGUCUGAGAGGACGACCAGCCACACUGGAACUGAGACACGGUCCAGACUCCUACGGGAGGCAGCAGUGGGGAAUUUUGGACAAUGGGCGCAAGCCUGAUCCAGCAAUGCCGCGUGCAGGAUGAAGGCCUUCGGGUUGUAAACUGCUUUUGUACGGAACGAAACGGUCGCCUCUAAUAAAGGUGGCUAAUGACGGUACCGUAAGAAUAAGCACCGGCUAACUACGUGCCAGCCGCCGCGGUAAUUC
This 527-nucleotide ribosomal RNA is filed under the name uncultured bacterium. RNAcentral describes it as "bacterial SSU rRNA". It matches the Rfam family "Bacterial small subunit ribosomal RNA", at positions 8 to 526 of the family's 1533-position model. The record is from RNAcentral.